This 74-nucleotide transfer RNA is filed under the name bacterium. RNAcentral describes it as "tRNA-Gln". It matches the Rfam family "tRNA". Rfam says of the family: Transfer RNA (tRNA) molecules are approximately 80 nucleotides in length. Their secondary structure includes four short double-helical elements and three loops (D, anti-codon, and T loops). The record is from RNAcentral.
UGAGGUGUAGUGCAAUGGUAGCACGUCAGAUUUUGGUUCUGGAGAUUCAAGUUCAAAUCUUGACACCUUAGCAA